This 253-nucleotide ribosomal RNA is filed under the name uncultured prokaryote. Its description in RNAcentral is "partial 16S ribosomal RNA". It matches the Rfam family "Bacterial small subunit ribosomal RNA", at positions 524 to 776 of the family's 1533-position model. The record is from RNAcentral.
GACAGAGGGUGCAAGCGUUGUUCGGAAUCAUUGGGCGUAAAGGGCGCGUAGGCUGUUUUGUAAGUCGGAUGUGAAAGCCCAGGGCUUAACCUUGGAAGUGCAUCGGAAACUGUGAAACUAGAGUCUCGGAGAGGGUGGUAGAAUUCCCAGUGUAGAGGUGAAAUUCGUAGAUAUUGGGAGGAAUACCGGUGGCGAAGGCGACCACCUGGACGAAGACUGACGCUGAGGCGCGAGAGCGUGGGGAGCAAACAGG